Molecule: small nuclear RNA, 107 nt
Filed under: Castor canadensis (American beaver)
Lineage: Eukaryota; Metazoa; Chordata; Mammalia; Rodentia; Castoridae
Source: RNAcentral
GUUCUUGCUUCGGCAAUACACAUACUAAAAUUGGAAUGAUACAGAGAAGAUUAGCAAGGCUCCUGUGCAAGGAUGACACAUAAAUUUGUAAAGCGUUCCAUAUUUUU